Molecule: ribosomal RNA, 117 nt
Organism: Danio rerio (zebrafish)
Lineage: Eukaryota; Metazoa; Chordata; Actinopteri; Cypriniformes; Danionidae
Source: Ensembl
CGCCUCAGCCAUAUCCCCCUGCAGCCCAAGACCAAUUACACACUGAAGCUAAGCAGGGCUGAGCCUGGUCAGUACCCGAAUGGAAGACCAAAUGGGAAAACUAGGUUGCUGUUGGAA